RNAcentral lists this unclassified non-coding RNA (153 nucleotides) under soil metagenome. RNAcentral's name for it is "partial internal transcribed spacer 1". The record is from RNAcentral.
CCGAGUUUACAACUCCCAAACCCAUGUGAACGUUACCAACUGUUGCCUCGGCGGGUCAGCCCGGGUGCCGUAAAGACGGACCAGGCGCCGCCGAGGACCCACUAAACUCUUCGUGUCUCGGAGUAUUAAGCUCUGAGCAAAAAUAAAUGAAUC